AUCCCGCUGAUGAGUUCGAAAUAGGAAGAAACGCGAGUCCUGGAU
Non-coding RNA from Schistosoma curassoni, 45 nucleotides. The record is from Rfam. NCBI's taxonomy places the organism in Eukaryota, Metazoa, Platyhelminthes, Trematoda, Strigeidida, Schistosomatidae.